UCCUUGGCUGAUACUCUCAUGACUUUUGUGAGUUUCAGAGAUGGACAGCAGCCUUGUCUUGCUCACAAGCCUUGGCAUUCAGAGAAGCAAGGUUGUUCCUGGGAAAUCACAAGGCUGAAGGGGUUUCCCCAUACCUGGCUUGGAGCCAUCUCUGAUAUAGCACAGGGGAUCAUGAGCAUCACAGGGUAGCAGGCCCUGCAAAGUCCUGGGACUGAGGUGCUCCUGUUGAUGAACCUGGCCCCCUGAACAAACCCUGUGCUAGCUAUCUGCUGCUGUACCAAAAUGCCCGAGAUCACUAAUACACAGGAAAAGGCUAUUUGGCUCAUGGUUCUGUGUUUCUCCACAGUAAGGUGGACUUCUCUGAGGUCACUUGACAUCUCUCUUAGGACCAGUGCUGCCAACUUCAGGUACCACACAUACCACUUCAUCAAAAUCAGCAAAAAGACAACAAACUUGGGAAGUGUCUUCAUCCGAGAGUGACAGAAGAUCCUCUCCCAGGGCCGUGGGGAGCAGGAGACACUGUGCCUAGUGCAGCAUAAGCUCUCACACAAGGCAGGAGCUGUCAUGGCUAUGGGGACACAGACCUGCCCAGCACAACCAUGUCACUGCGGAUACCAGGAAGGAUACUGAAUGAAGAAUGCUCUUUGUAGAAGUAAUUUUGUAAACAGCGAUCAUCUCCUGGAGACUGACUCC
Long non-coding RNA from Fukomys damarensis (Damara mole-rat), 693 nucleotides. RefSeq lists it as uncharacterized. The transcript is spliced from 3 exons. NCBI's taxonomy places the organism in Eukaryota, Metazoa, Chordata, Mammalia, Rodentia, Bathyergidae. The record is from RefSeq and is a predicted model, not a curated record.